Molecule: small nuclear RNA, 135 nt
Filed under: Microtus ochrogaster (prairie vole)
Lineage: Eukaryota; Metazoa; Chordata; Mammalia; Rodentia; Cricetidae
Description: U1 spliceosomal RNA (ENSMOCG00000003400.1)
Rfam family: U1 spliceosomal RNA
About the family: U1 is a small nuclear RNA (snRNA) component of the spliceosome (involved in pre-mRNA splicing). Its 5' end forms complementary base pairs with the 5' splice junction, thus defining the 5' donor site of an intron. There are significant differences in sequence and secondary structure between metazoan and yeast U1 snRNAs, the latter being much longer (568 nucleotides as compared to 164 nucleotides in human).
Source: RNAcentral
AUACUUUACUGACAGGGGAGAUACCAUGAUCACAAAGGUGCUUUUCCCAGUGCAAGCCUUAUCAAUUGCACUCCAGAUAUGCUGACCCCUGCAUUUUUUUCAAAUGGGUUCAUUAUACUGUAGAAAUUAAGAAAA